Molecule: long non-coding RNA, 2472 nt
Filed under: Mytilus galloprovincialis (Mediterranean mussel)
Lineage: Eukaryota; Metazoa; Mollusca; Bivalvia; Mytilida; Mytilidae
Source: RNAcentral
ACUGAUAUGUUACAAAUUUAUUAUUAUUUGUACAGUGCAAUCUGUACAGCAUAUACAAUUCAUGUACAUUUGAACACAUUUAUUAUGUACACAAUGAGGGAUAAACCAGCUAAUAUCAACAGCGAUCAUCAAACCUACUAACAAAGCUUGUCGUAUCGACCCUCAUCUUGUCAUGAAUGUAUGCAAUAUUUCCUACACAUUUAAUUGUCAACAAACAACUUAGUUCAACAAGGAAGGAACCUUAAUACUUUUGAUACUUCAAUGUUUAAUGAACAUCAUCUUUUUUCAAGAAAGUAAGGGCAUAUCAUAUGCUAUAAUAUUGUAGUAAAAUAAUAAUUGUAAAAAAUAAUGAAGUAUAAUCUUUUAUAAUAACAGAGACACCACUCUGACUAGAGAUAUUGUGAUAUAACUUGACAAAUUCCUUCCCCCACCCCCAGCCUGAAAAUGAUGUUGGCCAAUUAUCAAAGAGAUUUCUCAAACAGAGGAUUUGCUGUUCUUUCAUCAUCAUCAUCAUUUAAGACCUUUUUAAUUUAAAAAUUUGAAACUAGGAUCAUAUUACAUCUUUAUACUUUUCGUGGAAACUCAUCAAACUGUCUCAUAUAAAUAAACAGUGUGUUUUCUGUUUUAAAAAUAACAACUUACACCGAACUGGUUUUAUUUCAAUGAUGCAUCUGGUUUCUGAAUGUUAACCUCAAUAUUUCUAUGGGUUUUUGCAUUGUUGGGUUGUUGUCUCAUUGACAUACAUCACACACAUAUUUUUAUUCACAUUUUGGAGUUCCUCUAGUUUUCUAACUUCAAUGUCAAUAAAACAAAAGUAUGAAAUUAUGUUUAAGACUAAAAUUUAAUAAAAUAUUUGCUCCAAAAACUCAAUGUUAUAUAAAAAAAAGUCUAUUCAUUUUAAUUGUAUUUCACAGUUUUAUGUAAAACAAUAGGAAAAUGCCCACUUCAAUAUUACUUAGUCCUUCACUUAUAAAACCUCAAUGUUCAAACAAUGUGUGUGUGUAUAUAUGCAAAGAAUAGCAGCACUAAAUGUAUAACACCAAGAACCAUUUGCAUACUAACCAAUUUUUUCCCCCAGUUGUUGAAUAAAUUAAACAUUUGUCCAGAGCAUUCAAAAUGUUUUUGGUGUUGAAUUUAACAUUGCCCAGAUAAAUAAAGGCAUUUCUAUUUUAAAGUCACCUGACUCGUAUGUUUCCUAUGACCAAAAAAAAUACUGAUUUCAGCACCUUACAAUGUAUUUAAAUAGCACUAGGGAAAAUUUGUAAUUAUUUCACAUGACCAAGAAAUUGGUUAACACAUAAAUGGUAACUUAUAUAAUGUACAUAAUUUGAGUUAGACAGCUGAAUGUUUGCAGUUUAAAUAAUAAAUGUCUGAAAAGCAACCAAGGACUAAAAAAACAAAAGUCAAGAACAAAGAACACAUCACUAACACAUAAUAUGUAAUGAUAUAUAUUCUUCUCCAACAAACAGCCCUUACUCACAAUAUAAUAGUCACUUAAUUGUAACAAUAUAUAUAUAUACAAAAUCUUGUCAACAAACACCAAGCACUUGUUAUAUAUGAAAAAAUUUACAUGCCAUGAUAUUUAUGGGUCUUUCUAUAUUAUCUUCAAAAUUUAUCAUCUAAACAAUAAAUAAAUGUAUCAAUUACUCAUCCAUAUAAAUGAUUAAGAUAUAGUUUUUUAUUCUUCGUAAUGAGAUGGUUUUUUUGAAUAAAUGCAAAAGAAUGGAGCGCUUUUCUAUAGAAUUUCUAAUAUUUUUUAUAUGGAAAACUGAAUUACAAAAGAAGAUAAAAUUACAAAUCUGUUAUCCUGAUUUUCAAAAAAAUCGUCCUGAGAAAAUUUAUGAACGAAUUACUUAAAAACAUGUUUGUGUAUGAUUCAAUUUAUAAAUUUCAUUGAAAAAAAGAAGAACUUAACCACUAUUUGACUUGAACAGGAAAUCCUAUAUGGAUCUAAUAAAUCUAAACAGAUAUCAUGCAUAAGCGUACAUUCAACUGAUUCAUGAGCUGAAAAAAGCAGACAUGAAAAUCUGACGGAUGAUGAAGUACAGCAGUGACCAUUUUGACAUAAAAGAAAAUUUUAAUUUGAAUAUUCAAAUUUCCACUGCAUCUGUUUAAAACAACUAAGAAGCAUUCUUGUUUGAUAGAAUUUGAAUUCACUAAAUUGACUAACAGUUUUAAAAACACAACCAUAACAAAACGUCUAUUUCCUAUCUAACUAACAUAUGGUGCAAUUAAAAGAUCUUCGCCAAGACUCCUAACUCUUUUAAUAAUAAGCUAUAAAAAUAUGCUAAGGAACAAAUGGCAUAAUUUCAUUGCAAGUUUGAAACAAGGUUAGAAAACAACAAUUUCAUUGGAAAUAAAUGUUGGGUAGAAAAAUAUAUGUUUAUUAACAUCAGUAACAAUCUGAAAAUCUCUGUGUUGGUCAUAAUUCAUGUAAUUCUUGGUAAGCGCUGGCCACAUGGACAUCUUCAG